CAAAUCGAGUAUUUAUGUCUGGUGUGUGUUGGAUGGAUGGAUGGUGUCUUGUCGGUUGACAUGGUGCUGCCAGCCCAGCCUAGCACUAGCACUAGACAGAAUAUACAUUUGCGCUUGCAGUGUUUGACAGAGUGUGUGUGCCAUUAAUUAAAGA
RNAcentral lists this unclassified non-coding RNA (154 nucleotides) under uncultured fungus. Its description in RNAcentral is "sequence contains ITS1, 5.8S rRNA gene". Lineage: Eukaryota; Fungi. The record is from RNAcentral.